RNAcentral lists this ribosomal RNA (253 nucleotides) under uncultured bacterium. Its description in RNAcentral is "partial 16S ribosomal RNA". It matches the Rfam family "Bacterial small subunit ribosomal RNA", at positions 524 to 776 of the family's 1533-position model. The record is from RNAcentral.
UACGGAGGGGGCCAGCGUUGUUCGGAAUCAUUGGGCGUAAAGGGCGCGUAGGCGGCUUUGUAAGUCCGCUGUGAAAUCCCUCGGCUCAACCGAGGAACUGCGACGGAUACUGCUUGGCUUGAGUCCCGGAGAGGGUAGCGGAAUUCCCAGUGUAGCGGUGAAAUGCGUAGAUAUUGGGAGGAACAUCGGUGGCGAAGGCGGCUACCUGGACGGGUACUGACGCUGAUGCGCGAAAGCUAGGGGAGCAAACAGG